Molecule: ribosomal RNA, 1235 nt
Filed under: metagenome
Description: bacterial LSU rRNA
Rfam family: Bacterial large subunit ribosomal RNA
Source: RNAcentral
UGAAUACGAGACGCUAAGGCGUCGAAGUAGUGUAUAUCAGACUUCCAAGAAAAGCUUGCACUGUCAUAGAUAAAAAAUGCCUGUACCAUAACCGACACAGGUGGGUAGGUAGAGUAUACUAAGGGGCGCGAGAUAACUCUCUCUAAGGAACUCGGCAAAAUAACUCCGUAACUUCGGGAGAAGGAGUGCCUUAUUUAUAAGGUUGCAAUAACAAGAUCCAAGCAACUGUUUAUCAAAAACACAGGUCUCCGCUAAGUCGUAAGACGAUGUAUGGGGGCUGACGCCUGCCCAGUGCCAGAAGGUUAAAGAAGUUGGUUAGCAAUUGCGAAGCUGAUAACUGAAGCCCUGGUGAACGACGGCCGUAACUAUAACGGUCCUAAGGUAGCGAAAUUCCUUGUCGGGUAAGUUCCGACCCGCACGAAAGGCGUAAUGAUUUGGAUACUGACUCGGAGAGGGGCUCGGUGAAAUAGACUUGUCUGUGAAGAUGCGGACUACCUGCACCAGGACAGAAAGACCCUAUGAAGCUUUACUGUAACUUGAAAUUGAAAUUGGACUUUAUUCGCGCAGCAUAGGUGGGAGGCGUUGAUUAUAAUCUUGCGGGAUUAUUGGAGCCAUCAGUGAGAUACCACUCUUGUAAUGUUAGAUUUCUAACUUUGAAUCAUUAUCUGGUCAAAGAACAGUUUCAGGCGGGCAGUUUGACUGGGGCGGUCGCCUCCUAAAUGGUAACGGAGGCGUACAAAGGUUUCCUCUGAACGGUUAGAAAUCGUAUCUAGAGUGUAAAGGCAUAAGGAAGCUUGACUGUGAGACCUACAAGUCGAGCAGGGACGAAAGUCGGUCUUAGUGAUCUGACGGUACUGAGUGGAAAGGCCGUCACUCAGCGGAUAAAAGUUACUCUAAGGAUAACAGGCUGAUCUCCCCCAAGAGUUCACAUCGACGGGGAGGUUUGGCACCUCGAUGUCGGCUCAUCGCAUCCUGGGGCGGUAGUACGUCCCAAGGGUUGGGCUGUUCGCCCAUGAAAGCGGUACGCGAGCUGGGUUCAGAACGUCGUGAGACAGUUCGGUCCAUAUCCGGUGUAGGCGUUAGAAUAUUGAGAGGAGCCUUCUUUAGUACGAGAGGACCGAGAAGGACAUACCUCUGGUGUACCAGUUAUCGUGCCAACGGUAAACGCUGGGUAGCUAUGUAUGGAGUGGAUAACCGCUGAAAGCAUCUAAGUGGGAAGCCCACCUCAAGAUAAG